CUGGGACACAAAAACACAAAAGCAAUAAGUUUUCACUGAGUGCGUUUUUUUCUUCUCUUUUACUGUAAGAAAUAAUCUGACAUUCAGGUUUUCAAGGACUUUAGAAACAUUUUAUUUUGGUAAGUUUCACCUGGGAAACCCUGGCGAGCUACGAGUACCUUUAUGAAGCUCACAACAAUUUCCAUACAGGUCCGUAGAGGUAUUUAAGGUAUGUAUCAUGGUUGAGGGAAUUCUCCAGAGUCUUGCUCAAAGAUGCUUUAACAGCGAAGAUGCUUGUUGACACAAAGACUUGAGCCCAAAUCCUCUGACUGACAUGAUGUUCAAGAUGUUUCUCUGUGUGUUCCUCUAGUCCAACACGUCCUUUAACCGGGAUGUGGUGAAGGCCGGUACCGGUAGACGGUUCCUCGGUGGCCUCCUUGAUGACAGGUCCUACUGCUACACUCUAGAAGUGUCCUUCUACAGCUACAUGACGGCUGGCAGCACCGCUCCCGUGCCGUACACUGAGGAGACAUACACGAAGCUGGGCAGGAAUGUGGCUCGAACCUUCCUGGAUUACUACAAACUCAACAACCACAUCAAGGACAACCGACCAACUCACAUUCAAAGUUCUGAGGUGAUUUCCCCGACCGGUGACGCGAACAGAAAGGGCAAGGAGAGAGAGAGGGAGAAGAGCCAGGGUGUCAGGCACUAGACAAACGGACAGACGCACACGGACUGAGCAUGUAUAAAACGCAGAGCACCGUAGCAGGAGGAUCCUUCACACUUCAUUGCCUUUAGAAGCUCCACAUCUCCCUGGCUAUAAAGACUUAUUUUCACAGACUUGUAACAAUGGGAUGACUGGUACUUGCAGGACUUAAAUUGGAACAAGCUUCCUCUUGGGUUAUUUAGUGACUAUAAAAUGUGGACUAUCGAAUGCCAAGGGACGACAGACUGGGCACGCAUCUUAAGUCCAUCUGAGGCCUUCCUUCAGCAGCUCCUUUAUGUUGUUUAUACAAGUGUAAAUAAAUGCAUGUUUCCCUGCUGUUACUGACUUAUUUUAUUUUAAUUAGUCAUUAAACCCUCAAUCACAAUGUUGUACAUGUUGCUUUCUCAUAUCAAUACCGACAACAUUUAAGCGACUAUAAGGAACUUUCAUUUUGUGUUGAUUUGGUGGGCCCUGUGGACAACACGGUGGUGUUUCCAUAAGCACCAGCGCCGCGUGUGGUAAAGAUCUUGAUCUGGCUACAUGUGCAUUUGUUUUGGAAGCGAGUGAAAUAAAAGCGCAACUUAUUUUAUUAAACUGUUUUUCUUUUUUAAACACAGCUUUUUGCAGGAUGCAUAGCAAUGAGGUAAUGUAUCUAUUUGUGGCUAUUUAAUAUUAAUACAACGAUGAUGGUGAAACAGAGUAAACUUGGUUUUAGCCACCAACAUAAAUGUAUAUAUUGAUGUAAAACCAUGUCUGGCAAUGUUUUUGGUAAAUAAAAUAGACAUAUUACUUACCAGUCUAGGGCCAAUUGAAGAUCUUUCAAAUCCUGCA
RNAcentral lists this long non-coding RNA (1516 nucleotides) under Cottoperca gobio. RNAcentral describes it as "lncRNA (ENSCGOG00000003926.1)". Lineage: Eukaryota; Metazoa; Chordata; Actinopteri; Perciformes; Bovichtidae. The record is from RNAcentral.